RNAcentral lists this ribosomal RNA (326 nucleotides) under uncultured bacterium. RNAcentral describes it as "bacterial SSU rRNA". It matches the Rfam family "Bacterial small subunit ribosomal RNA", at positions 183 to 507 of the family's 1533-position model. The record is from RNAcentral.
AGAUGAUGUCUCCGACCAAAGGUGUGAUUCCGCCUUGGGAUGAAUCUGCGUCCUAUUAGCUAGUUGGUGAGGUAACGGCUCACCAAGGCGAAGAUGGGUACCGGGUGUGAGAGCAUGACCCGGCUCACUGGGACUGAGACACUGCCCAGACACCUACGGGUGGCUGCAGUCGAGAAUCUUCGGCAAUGGGCGAAAGCCUGACCGAGCAAUGCCGCGUGCGGGAUGAAGGCCUUCGGGUUGUAAACCGCUGUCAGUGGGGAGCAAGUUCCAUAAGGCUAUCCUUAUGGAUUGAGCAAUCCGCAGAGGAAGUACGGGCUAAGUUCGUG